RNAcentral lists this transfer RNA (73 nucleotides) under Candidatus Blochmanniella vafra str. BVAF. RNAcentral's name for it is "tRNA-Ile (GAT) (tRNA-Ile-GAT-1-1)". It matches the Rfam family "tRNA". From Rfam's summary of the family: Transfer RNA (tRNA) molecules are approximately 80 nucleotides in length. Their secondary structure includes four short double-helical elements and three loops (D, anti-codon, and T loops). The record is from RNAcentral. Lineage: Bacteria; Pseudomonadati; Pseudomonadota; Gammaproteobacteria; Enterobacterales; Enterobacteriaceae.
AGGCUUGUAGCUCAGCGGUUAGAGCGCACCCCUGAUAAGGGUGAGGACGGUGGUUCAAAUCCACUCAGGCCUA